UUACGGCGGACGGCGUGAUGUGGCCGCAGAGAAUAGAGGGAAGCGACUGUUUACUAAAAACACAGGUCCGUGCGAAGACGGUAAGUCGAUGUAUACGGACUGACGCCUGCCCGGUGCUGGAAGGUUAAGAGGACCUGUUAGGCCGGUUUUGCCGGCCGAAGCGGAGAAUUUAAGCCCCAGUAAACGGCGGUGGUAACUAUAACCAUCCUAAGGUAGCGAAAUUCCUUGUCGGGUAAGUUCCGACCUGCACGAAUGGCGUAACGACUUCCCUGCUGUCUCAACCACAGACCCGGCGAAAUUGCAGUACGAGUAAAGAUGCUCGUUACGCGCGGCAGGACGAAAAGACCCCGGGACCUUCACUAUAGCUUGGUAUUGGUGUUCGGUUCGGUUUGUGUAGGAUAGGUGGGAGACUGUGAAACCUCAACGCCAGUUGGGGUGGAGUCGUUGUUGAAAUACCACUCUGAUCGUAUUGGAUAUCUAACCUCGGCCCGUGAUCCGGGUUGGGGACAGUGCCUGGUGGGUAGUUUAACUGGGGCGGUUGCCUCCCAAAGAGUAACGGAGGCGCCCAAAGGUUCCCUCAGCCUGGUUGGCAAUCAGGUGUUGAGUGUAAGUGCACAAGGGAGCUUGACUGUGAGACUGACAGGUCGAGCAGGUACGAAAGUAGGGACUAGUGAUCCGGCACCGGCUUGUGGAAGCGGUGUCGCUCAACGGAUAAAAGGUACCCCGGGGAUAACAGGCUGAUCUUCCCCAAGAGUCCAUAUCGACGGGAUGGUUUGGCACCUCGAUGUCGGCUCGUCGCAUCCUGGGGCUGGAGUAGGUCCCAAGGGUUGGGCUGUUCGCCCAUUAAAGCGGCACGCGAGCUGGGUUUAGAACGUCGUGAGACAGUUCGGUCUCUAUCCGCCGCGCGCGUAGAAACUUGAGGAAGGCUGUCCCUAGUACGAGAGGACCGGGACGGACGUACCUCUGGUGUGCCAGUUGUUCCGCCAGGGGCAUUGCUGGUUGGCUACGUACGGAAGGGAUAACCGCUGAAAGCAUCUAAGCGGGAAGCCUGUUCCGAGAUCAGGUUUCAUUUGAGGUCCCCCAUAGAUGAUGGGGUUGAUAGGCCGGAACUGUACGCACGGUAACGUGUUCAGGUGACCGGUACUAAUAGGCCGAACGUCAACACACC
This 1168-nucleotide ribosomal RNA is filed under the name Clostridium paraputrificum. Its description in RNAcentral is "bacterial LSU rRNA". It matches the Rfam family "Bacterial large subunit ribosomal RNA", at positions 1756 to 2925 of the family's 2925-position model. The record is from RNAcentral. Lineage: Bacteria; Bacillati; Bacillota; Clostridia; Eubacteriales; Clostridiaceae.